GACGAACGCUGGCGGCGUGCCUAAUACAUGCAAGUAGAACGCACAGUUUAUACCGUAGCUUGCUACACCAUAAACUGUGAGUUGCGAACGGGUGAGUAACGCGUAGGUAACCUGCCUGGUAGCGGGGGAUAACUAUUGGAAACGAUAGCUAAUACCGCAUAAUAUUAAUUAUUGCAUGAUAAUUGAUUGAAAGAUGCAAUUGCAUCACUACCAGAUGGACCUGCGUUGUAUUAGCUAGUAGGCGAGGUAACGGCUCACCUAGGCGACGAGUCAGAGCCGACCUGCGAGGGUGGUCGGCCACACUGGGACUGGGACAAGGCCCAGACUCCUACGGGAGGCAGCAGUAGGGAAACUUCGGCCAUGGACGGAAGUCUUACCGAGCAACGCCGCGUGAGUGGAGAAGGUUUUCGGAUCGUAAAGCUCUGUUGUAAGAGAAGAACGGGUGUGAGAGUGGAAAGUUCACACUGUGACGGUAUCUUACCAGAAAGGGACGGCUAACUACGUG
RNAcentral lists this ribosomal RNA (505 nucleotides) under uncultured bacterium. Its description in RNAcentral is "partial 16S ribosomal RNA". It matches the Rfam family "Bacterial small subunit ribosomal RNA", at positions 28 to 507 of the family's 1533-position model. The record is from RNAcentral.